RNAcentral lists this ribosomal RNA (1224 nucleotides) under Triticum aestivum (bread wheat). RNAcentral describes it as "partial small subunit ribosomal RNA". The record is from RNAcentral. Lineage: Eukaryota; Viridiplantae; Streptophyta; Magnoliopsida; Poales; Poaceae.
AUGGACUUGGAUCAGCAAAGAUAUUAUUAUCUCACCAUGUUGUGGCGGAGAACUCUGUCUGUCAUUGUUCUUCUCUUGGCUCUUUGGUAUAGAGACAAAGAUGGUAGAAAAUUUAGAAGUGGAGGAAGAAAGUAUGGUCCUCUAGUUGAGAGAGACAUCUACAGGACUAGUGUCCUGGUUAGGCUAAUUGACACAUCCGAUGCAAUAUGUAUCAAGCAACUGCGGAUGUCUCGAGCUGUGUUUUACAAGCUAUGCAUUAGGCUCAGGCAGAAAAAGUUGUUAAUUGAUACACUACAUGUUUCAGUAGAGGAACAAGUAGCAAUGUUCCUAUACAUGAUCGGUCAGCAUCACACAAAUUCAUCCGUUGGAUUUUGGUUCUGGCGAUCUAGUGAAACAGUGAGCAGAUAUUUCAAUAUUGUUCUUCGUGCGAUGGGGGAGUUAGCUCGUGAUCUCAUUUACAUUAGAUCAACGGACACACACACAAAAAUCACUAGCAGCCCGGACAGAUUCUACCCGUAUUUUGAGGGAUGCAUAGGGGCACUAGAUGGCACUCAUGUUAAGGCUUGUGUUCCUGCCCACAUGGUCGACAAGUUUAGGGGCCGCAAGUCAUACCCCUCCCAAAAUGUGCUAGCAGUUGUUGACUUCGACCUUCGAUUCACAUAUGUUCUAGCUGGUUGGGAGGGCUCUGCCCAUGAUUCUCUUGUGCUAAAAGAUGCCCUCACACGUCCAGGGGGAUUAAAAAUACCCGAAGGGAAAUAUUUCUUGGCUGAUGCUGGGUAUGCUGCGAGGCCAGGGAUAUUACCUCCUUAUCGUGGUGUGCGCUACCACCUAAAUGAAUUUGCUGGAGACCGUGACCCAACUACCCCAAAAGAAUUGUUCAACCACCGCCAUUCAUCACUUAGGACCACAGUUGAACGGGCAUUUGGGACUCUUAAGAGUUGCUUCAAGAUUCUUACUCAAAGGCCCUUCAUACCUUUGAAAUCUCAGAUUAAAGUGGUAGUUGCUUGUUGUGCUUUGCACAAUUGGAUAUUAGAAAAUGGUCCAUAUGAUUAUGUUGUGGAUGAGGCGACAUGGUAUGACAAUCUCCCUACGAGUACUGGGCGGGUUCGUGAUCAAGAGGCUGACAUAUGUGAGUGGGCUGCCAAGCAAGAUUUAAUCGCUCAGCAAAUGUGGACAGAUAGAGAGAGUGCACGUGACAAUGAGGCUGAUGCUAUCCCAGCUUAG